UACGUAGGGGGCGAGCGUUGUCCGGAAUUACUGGGCGUAAAGAGAGCGUAGGCGGCACUACAAGUCUCAUGUGAAACACCCGGGCUUAACUUGGGGGUUGCAUGGGAAACUGUAGAGCUUGAGUACAGGAGAGGCAAGCGGAAUUCCUAGUGUAGCGGUGAAAUGCAUAGAUAUUAGGAGGAACACCAGUGGCGAAGGCGGCUUGCUGGACUGAAACUGACGCUGAGGCUCGAAAGCGUGGGGAGCAAACAGG
This 253-nucleotide ribosomal RNA is filed under the name uncultured bacterium. RNAcentral's name for it is "partial 16S ribosomal RNA". It matches the Rfam family "Bacterial small subunit ribosomal RNA", at positions 524 to 776 of the family's 1533-position model. The record is from RNAcentral.